RNAcentral lists this ribosomal RNA (600 nucleotides) under Veillonella parvula. RNAcentral's name for it is "bacterial SSU rRNA". It matches the Rfam family "Bacterial small subunit ribosomal RNA", at positions 365 to 958 of the family's 1533-position model. The record is from RNAcentral. Lineage: Bacteria; Bacillati; Bacillota; Negativicutes; Veillonellales; Veillonellaceae.
UCCGCAAUGGACGAAAGUCUGACGGAGCAACGCCGCGUGAGUGAUGACGGCCUUCGGGUUGUAAAGCUCUGUUAAUCGGGACGAAAGGCCUUCUUGCGAACAGUUAGAAGGAUUGACGGUACCGGAAUAGAAAGCCACGGCUAACUACGUGCCAGCAGCCGCGGUAAUACGUAGGUAGCAAGCGUUGUCCGGAAUUAUUGGGCGUAAAGCGCGCGCAGGCGGAUCAGUCAGUCUGUCUUAAAAGUUCGGGGCUUAACCCCGUGAUGGGAUGGAAACUGCUGAUCUAGAGUAUCGGAGAGGAAAGUGGAAUUCCUAGUGUAGCGGUGAAAUGCGUAGAUAUUAGGAAGAACACCAGUGGCGAAGGCGACUUUCUGGACGAAAACUGACGCUGAGGCGCGAAAGCCAGGGGAGCGAACGGGAUUAGAUACCCCGGUAGUCCUGGCCGUAAACGAUGGGUACUAGGUGUAGGAGGUAUCGACCCCUUCUGUGCCGGAGUUAAGCAAUAAGUACCCGCCUGGGGAGUACGACCGCAAGGUUGAAACUCAAAGGAAUUGACGGGGGCCCGCACAAGCGGUGGAGUAUGUGGUUUAAUUCGACGCA